Non-coding RNA from Sus scrofa (pig), 3682 nucleotides. The record is from RefSeq and is a predicted model, not a curated record. NCBI's taxonomy places the organism in Eukaryota, Metazoa, Chordata, Mammalia, Artiodactyla, Suidae.
UUUGGGAUAGAGAUUCCAGAAAUUGUACAUGAGAUUGAUGAGAUAGCUGAUCUUCCCAUAGGAUUUCUUCCUAUGGUAGUUUGAAUCUAUGUCCUCAAACUCAAAGUAUGGAACCUGAGUGUCCUCCCCUAAGUGUGUGUUGAACUAGCUGACUUGCUUCUAACAAAGGGAAUAUUGCAUGAAUGAUGGUAUGUGACUUUAAGGACUAGGCAUUAAAGGCAUUGCCCUCUCCUGUAUGCUCACUUUAGGAAAAUGAUCUUGCAUGACACAAGAACAAUCAAACAGCCCCGUAGAGAAGUCCAUGUGGUGAGGAGCUGGGACCUCCCGCCAACAGCCAUGUGGAAGAGCCACUGCAGCCCCAGUGGAGCCCUAAAAUGACUGAAACUCAUUGUCUAGGCAGUGACUGCGACCUCCUAAACAACCCUGAAUCAGAACCAUUCAGAAAUUUUCUAGGGUCUCAAAUAAGACUGGAAAAACAUGGAUAGUAGAGGAUCCAGCCCCCCUCAUGUUUUUCUUCUCAGAUUCUAGCACAGUCUAGGUAUUUGGUCAUCUUCCUGUAAGGAAUGAAAUGUUGCUGUGUGAGACUGAUGUUUUCAUACAUGCUGGGAAGUUUCUCCAAGAUUUCUAAGAGUGACUGGAGCCACUACAGUCAGAUUCUUAACCCACCACACCACAGUGGGAACUCCUGGGUGAGGAUGUUGGAUUGAUUUGAAUGGUAAGUAAUUUGUCUAUUUGACUUUCUUCACGUAAUUUUAAGAAUAUUCCUUGUUUUUCUUUUUCAAGUUUCUAAAGAUAGCUCUUAACAUCAUCAGUGACUUUACUCAAAUUAACAUCUGACCUAUAAUCUCAGUCUCCACUUUGUGAUUCACUCCUUUUUUUCUAAUUUCCUGUUGUAUUACUGUAUAAUCCUCCAUAAAGAGAGCAGGUGAGUGAUUUUCACACAGAUUCAGUCAUAAUUUAAUCAGUUCUUUUUAUCAUUUACAACCUUGUGUGUUAAAAUUUUCAAGCGUUUCUUUCUGUUCCUUCAGCUUUACAUAGAUAGGCUUGCCUUCUUGUUCCUUUAUCCUACCAUUAAUACCUUUUGGGCAAGCAGCUGUAUGUUUUCCUGAACAUUGUCUUCAAAACCAUUAACUAUUUUCCUCUGAUAUUUUUCUGCAUUUUUCUAAGAUGCCCUGAAGAUAUUUUUGGCCUCAAUCCCUUGGGCCUGGAGAGAUUUUGAUGUCUUUUUGAAUGGCUAUGUCUGUCCUUCAAGAUGAGUGGUUGUCACUCCAUGAAGUAAAAUUUUAGGAACUCUUCUGUUCUUGGUUGAAAAGGUCUAUCUACUAUAUCCCCCAGGGAGAAGGUGGACCUGUUUGCAUCUCUACUAACUGCUGUCAAACAGAGUUUAUAACUUCAAAGGACUGGCCUAUCACAGGUGACUCCAGGGUUCCAAAGUCUUCUGUAAUGAGCCUAAUCUUCCCACUGGGUUUAUGCUACUUUUCAACUAGGACAGGAAAAUCUUUGGCUGGCUUAUUUUCCCUCCGAGUACACUAGCAUUUUACCUUAUAAACCAUCGAAGCAGUACAUAUCAGAAUUUCUAAGGAAAAUUAAAAGACUUGAGCCUUGUGUCCAUAGUUCAGACAGCAGCAUCACAGAACAGCUGCCACAGAACUAGCCAGAAGGACAUUUCUGUGACCACCAAGAAGCCCUCCCUGGGUCCAUUGGGCACCACAUCUCAGUUUCUGGCCAGUAGCAGAAGGGCUCCAACUGCCUUCUUGGAACUCUGUGAUUGUUCUACCCCAAACUCUCAAGUCCUGACAAUCCACUACUGGGGCUACUCUAGGGGUUCACAUUAAUGAAAUAUUGCUGUGUUUGUCUUGAAACUGUGCAAUAAGAGUUCUUAUUUGUACUUAACAUUGAGAAAAAGGCCACCUGCUUCAGCCAGAGCAGGGCAGCCCAUGAGCCAUGAGCCCCCCAGGCCCACCUGGCCCUUUGAGAAAACUGGGGGAUCCCAACACAGCUGUGCCCUAAGCAAACCUCCAGAAAUGAGGGGAAAGAAACCUCUGUCUCUGAUCCUGGUUCUACCUCUUCAAUAGCUUCAGGAUCCAGAGCUUCAAAAUUCUAACCACUAUUUGAGGAAAGGAAUGCAGAGUAUAAAUCAUCUUCCUAGGGAGAUUUUUAUUUAAGUUCACUGUUCUCUGGGGCCGAACACCCUAUUAGGCUGUUAAAUCUCUUUUGGCUCAUAUCCUUAAGCUUAGACAGGUUAAAUGGCUUGUCCAAGGACAUACGCUAUUAAGGUGCAGGGCUGGAUUCUGCAUCAAAGUAAUCCAACUCCAAGUACAGUUCAUUUUUAUUUUGUAAAUAAUUUAGUUUUUAUUUUGUAAAAUUCAUAUUUUAUAUGAAUACCUUCUGCUCCCUCUUCUUUUUAAAACAUGGAUUUAAUAAAUAAUUCUAAAGCCCUUGUGAAAGCAAAUAGGGACCUGAGUGGCUCCCGGGUACAGAAGUCUUUCUGGGUCCUCCAUUUCUUAUUUUUAGGAAAGGAACCUCACUUAGCCUUCACGGCCUUUCCUAAUUUCCAAGGGGCAGGUUCAGAGAGUUGCUAAUCAGGCAAGGGAAGGGAUGUAAAGACAAGGGAGGAACAGUUAAGCAGCAAUUGUACAGCCUUAGGGCAGGAUCCUGGUCCCUCUCAAAGGAGACACAUAAUGAUGUAGGCAUCUUAUACACCUAAGAGAAAAGUUAUGUUCCUUAUGCUCAUUUAGAAAUGAGUAGCCUAGAAACGAAUAUUUUAAAAUUGAACAACUUGGAGUCCUUCCUCUGCUUCUCCCUCAUUGGAUUACCCCCUAAACACAAUCACCUGUGAGCUAAAGGCACCGUGACCACAAUUGCCUGUGGGUUAAACAUUACAAGCACUUUAUAUUUUUCAGGAAUCUUCCUAGGUCUAAUCUCUGAUCAAUAUGCUCUUUUUGCAAAAAACUGUUAUUCCAGGAAAAGUCAAGAUGCCAUAACCAAGAAGAUGACCACAAGGAUCAUGUUGAAAUCUCCUGACACCAGCUUUGAUGACUAAGAUUCCCCAAAGAAAGAAGAAUGCAAGUCUGCCCCAACCUUGAUUUUUUAUCUGAAGCCCUGUUUUCCUCCUUUUAGGUUGUAAAACUACAUGCAAUUCUUAUCUUUCUCCUUUAGAAGACCACAGUCUUUGGGCAUUAGCUUGCUAUGGCCUCCUUUGCCUGGCAAAGCAAUAAUUAUAUAUUUUUUCCUUUACCCAAUACUCUGUCUCUGUGAUUCUUUCUGGCACCAGUGGGCAGUGGACAGGGGCUGAGUUUCAGCAACACAUACAACUAAAAAAUGCUAUAAUUCCUUCAUUAUUAUUGCUGUGUAUUAUAAAAGAAAAUUUGACCAUUUCAGGGCCCAGAAUUUCAAAAUUCUGUAGCAAGUAUUAUUUACCCAUCUACUUAAUUAGCUUAAUGGUGUUAAGUUCUAAUGUCUGUUAUUCACUUCUUUAGUACGUCUAGCUACACAAUCUCAAAAGCAAUAUGGAGCAACAUUUUAUUAAAUACUGACUAAUAACCUGUUUUUCUUUUUAAAAUUUUAGUCCAUGAGACUGUUCAAAAGAUUAUUUUCAGAAGGGAUUGGAAUAUUGCUAUAAAUAAUUUAAUAUCUUGACAUAGGAAUUUCCUUUGUGGUCAGUGGUUAAUGAACCUGACUA